This 253-nucleotide ribosomal RNA is filed under the name uncultured bacterium. Its description in RNAcentral is "partial 16S ribosomal RNA". It matches the Rfam family "Bacterial small subunit ribosomal RNA", at positions 524 to 776 of the family's 1533-position model. The record is from RNAcentral.
UACAGAAGGUGCGAGCGUUAAUCGGAAUUACUGGGCGUAAAGCGUGCGCAGGCGGUUUUGUAAGACAGUCGUGAAAUCCCCAGGCUCAACCUGGGAAUUGCGAUUGUGACUGCAAAGCUGGAGUGCGGCAGAGGGGGAUGGAAUUCCGCGUGUAGCAGUGAAAUGCGUAGAUAUGCGGAGGAACACCGAUGGCGAAGGCAAUCCCCUGGGCCUGCACUGACGCUCAUGCACGAAAGCGUGGGGAGCAAACAGG